CCUACGGGAGGCAGCAGUGAGGAAUAUUGGUCAAUGGUCGGGAGCCUGAACCAGCCAAGCCGCGUGAGGGAGGAAGGUACUGGGUAUCGUAAACCUCUUUUGCCAGGGAACAAAGACUGGUACGCGUCCACGGAUGAGCGGACCUGAAGAAAAAGCAUCGGCAAAUUCCGUGCCAGCAGCCGCGGUAAUACGGAGGAUCCGAGCGUUACCCGGUUUUAUGGGGUUAAAGGGGCGAGAGGGGGGUCUGUAAAGUAAGCGUGAAAGACCGGGGGUCCAACCCGGGCCCGCCGUUGAAACUGGGAGUCUCGAGUGUGAGAGAGGUAUGCGGAAUGCGCGGUGUAGCGGUGAAAUGCAUAGAUA
RNAcentral lists this ribosomal RNA (360 nucleotides) under uncultured bacterium. RNAcentral's name for it is "partial 16S ribosomal RNA". It matches the Rfam family "Bacterial small subunit ribosomal RNA", at positions 338 to 696 of the family's 1533-position model. The record is from RNAcentral.